RNAcentral lists this ribosomal RNA (253 nucleotides) under uncultured bacterium. RNAcentral's name for it is "partial 16S ribosomal RNA". It matches the Rfam family "Bacterial small subunit ribosomal RNA", at positions 524 to 776 of the family's 1533-position model. The record is from RNAcentral.
UACGUAGGGUGCGAGCGUUAAUCGGAAUUACUGGGCGUAAAGAGUGCGUAGGCGGCUGCUGAAGUCCGCUGUGAAAGCCCCGGGCUCAACCUGGGAAUGGCAGUGGAAACUAGGCGACUUGAAUCUGGCAGAGGGGGGUGGAAUGCCGCGUGUAGCAGUGAAAUGCGUAGAGAUGCGGCGGAACACCGAUGGCGAAGGCAGCGCCCUGGGCUGAGAUUGACGCUCAGGCACGAAAGCGUGGGGAGCAAACAGG